RNAcentral lists this ribosomal RNA (253 nucleotides) under uncultured bacterium. RNAcentral describes it as "partial 16S ribosomal RNA". It matches the Rfam family "Bacterial small subunit ribosomal RNA", at positions 524 to 776 of the family's 1533-position model. The record is from RNAcentral.
UACAGAGGGGGCAAGCGUUGUUCGGAAUUACUGGGCGUAAAGGGCGCGUAGGCGGCCUGUUAAGUCGAACGUGAAAUCCCCGGGCUCAACCCGGGAACUGCGUCCGAUACUGGCAGGCUUGAAUCCGGGAGAGGGAUGCGGAAUUCCAGGUGUAGCGGUGAAAUGCGUAGAUAUCAGGAGGAACACCGGUGGCGAAGGCGCUGCUCUGGGCCGGUGCUGACGCUGAGGAGCGAAAGCGUGGGUAGCAAACAGG